UAAUCAUCUCUUUUUUAUACAGGUUGUCCCUACUAUCUAUACAGAUAUCAGGGGGCGAAAGAUUCACUCAAAUCAGUUUUCUGUGACGGAGCACUUUAGAGAAGCAAUUUGCCUUCCAAGGCCCCCGCCCGGUGUAUAUUUCUUCUAGGAAUUUUCGCCAAUUCAGGUUGAUUUUACUGAAGAAAACACAUCGCUUCUUCACUUGUUGACAAACAUAUGUGCGAUUGUUGGAGGAAUAUUCACCGUGGCUGGCAUCAUAGAUUCAUUUGUGUACCAUGGUCAUCGUGCAAUCAAGAAGAAGAUGGAGAUCGGAAAGCUCGGGUAGGGUAAUUCCAAGUGGAGCAGCAUGUAGCCAGCCAGCCAGUAGGACGGUAGCCAGGAACUGAGCUGCCCUGGAAAGGCGAGCAGAGAGCUCAGGAGGAAUUUUGGUCAAGAAUACUAUAUUAUUGUAAUGCAGUUCCUACUCACUCGACUUUUGCUGGUAAUUAUUUGAUCCCAGAUGUGUCAAUCAUAGAGGUUUAUUCUUUCUUACUCUCUUGUGUAAGCAACCGGAUCGCAGUGUUUGUCUUAUAGCAGUUCAAAGUCUUGUGUAACAAUACUACAUACACAAAA
Molecule: long non-coding RNA, 612 nt
Organism: Hordeum vulgare subsp. vulgare (domesticated barley)
Lineage: Eukaryota; Viridiplantae; Streptophyta; Magnoliopsida; Poales; Poaceae
Exons: 4
Source: RefSeq, a predicted model, not a curated record